UUCUUUGUUUUUAAUUCACAG
Molecule: microRNA, 21 nt
Filed under: Homo sapiens (human)
Lineage: Eukaryota; Metazoa; Chordata; Mammalia; Primates; Hominidae
Description: hsa-miR-6844
Source: miRBase by way of RNAcentral